UUCCGGUUGAUCCUGCCGGAGGCCAUUGCUAUCGGAGUCCGAUUUAGCCAUGCUAGUUGUGCGGGUUUAGACCCGCAGCGGAAAGCUCAGUAACACGUGGCCAAACUACCCUGUGGAUGGGAACAAUCUCGGGAAACUGAGGCUAAUUCCCAAUAAUGCUCGACCCCUGGAAUGGGUCGAGCUGGAAACGCUACGGCGCCACAGGAUGUGGCUGCGGCCGAUUAGGUAGACGGUGGGGUAACGGCCCACCGUGCCCGUAAUCGGUACGGGUUGUGAGAGCAAGAGCCCGGAGACGGUAUCUGAGACAAGAUACCGGGCCCUACGGGGCGCAGCAGGCGCGAAACCUUUACACUGUACGCAAGUGCGAUAAGGGGACUCCGAGUGUGAAGGCAUAGAGCCUUCACUUUUGUACACCGUAAGGUGGUGUACGAAUAAGGGCUGGGCAAGACCGGUGCCAGCCGCCGCGGUAAUACCGGCAGCCCGAGUGAUGGCCGAAAUUAUUGGGCCUAAAGCGUUCGUAGCUGGCCGGACAAGUCCGUUGGGAAAUCCGCGCGCUUAACGCGCGGGCGUCCAGCGGAAACUGUUCGGCUUGGGACCGGAAGACCUGAGGGGUACGUCCGGGGUAGGAGUGAAAUCCUGUAAUCCUGGACGGACCACCGGUGGCGAAAGCGCCUCAGGAGGACGGAUCCGACAGUGAGGAACGAAAGCUAGGGUCUCGAACCGGAUUAGAUACCCGGGUAGUCCUAGCUGUAAACGAUGCCCGCUAGGUGGUGGCGCAGGCUACGAGCCUGCGCUGUGCCGUAGGGAAGCCGAGAAGCGGGCCGCCUGGGAAGUACGUCUGCAAGGAUGAAACUUAAAGGAAUUGGCGGGGGAGCACUACAACCGGAGGAGCCUGCGGUUUAAUUGGACUCAACGCCGGG
This 920-nucleotide ribosomal RNA is filed under the name uncultured archaeon. Its description in RNAcentral is "bacterial SSU rRNA". It matches the Rfam family "Archaeal small subunit ribosomal RNA", at positions 1 to 922 of the family's 1478-position model. The record is from RNAcentral.